RNAcentral lists this ribosomal RNA (449 nucleotides) under uncultured bacterium. Its description in RNAcentral is "partial 16S ribosomal RNA". It matches the Rfam family "Bacterial small subunit ribosomal RNA", at positions 29 to 523 of the family's 1533-position model. The record is from RNAcentral.
AGCGAACGCUGGCGGCAGGCCUAACACAUGCAAGUCGAACGGAUCCUUCGGGAUUAGUGGCGGUCGGGUGAGUAACACGUGGGAACGUGCCCUUUGGUUCGGAACAACUCAGGGAAACUUGAGCUAAUACCGGAUGUGCCCUUCGGGGGAAAGAUUUAUCGCCAUUGGAGCGGCCCGCGUCUGAUUAGCUAGUUGGUGGGGUAAAGGCCCACCAAGGCGACGAUCAGUAGCUGGUCUGAGAGGAUGAUCAGCCACAUUGGGACUGAGACACGGCCCAAACUCCUACGGGAGGCAGCAGUGGGGAGUCUUGCGCAAUGGGCGAAAGCCUGACGCAGCCAUGCCGCGUGAAUGAUGAAGGUCUUAGGAUUGUAAAAUUCUUUCACCGGGGACGAUAAUGACGGUACCCGGAGAAGAAGCCCCGGCUAACUUCGUGCCAGCCGCCGCGGUAA